AGAGUUUGAUCCUGGCUCAGGAUGAACGCUGGCGGCGUGCCUAACACAUGCAAGUUGAGCGAUUUACUUCGGUAAAGAGCGGCGGACGGGUGAGUAACGCGUGGGUAACCUACCCUGUACACACGGAUAACAUACCGAAAGGUAUGCUAAUACGGGAUAAUAUAUUUGAGAGGCAUCUCUUAAAUAUCAAAGGUGAGCCAGUACAGGAUGGACCCGCGUCUGAUUAGCUAGUUGGUAAGGUAACGGCUUACCAAGGCGACGAUCAGUAGCCGACCUGAGAGGGUGAUCGGCCACAUUGGAACUGAGACACGGUCCAAACUCCUACGGGAGGCAGCAGUGGGGAAUAUUGCACAAUGGGCGAAAGCCUGAUGCAGCAACGCCGCGUGAGUGAUGAAGGCCUUCGGGUCGUAAAACUCUGUCCUCAAGGAAGAUAAUGACGGUACUUGAGGAGGAAGCCCCGGCUAACUACGUGCCAGCAGCCGCGGUAAUACGUAGGGGGCUAGCGUUAUCCGGAUUUACUGGGCGUAAAGGGUGCGUAGGCGGUCUUUCAAGUCAGGAGUGAAAGGCUACGGCUCAACCGUAGUAAGCUCUUGAAACUGGGAGACUUGAGUGCAGGAGAGGAGAGUGGAAUUCCUAGUGUAGCGGUGAAAUGCGUAGAUAUUAGGAGGAACACCAGUUGCGAAGGCGGCUCUCUGGACUGUAACUGACGCUGAGGCACGAAAGCGUGGGGAGCAAACAGGAUUAGAUACCCUGGUAGUCCACGCUGUAAACGAUGAGUACUAGGUGUCGGGGGUUACCCCC
This 801-nucleotide ribosomal RNA is filed under the name Clostridioides difficile 002-P50-2011. RNAcentral's name for it is "bacterial SSU rRNA". It matches the Rfam family "Bacterial small subunit ribosomal RNA", at positions 8 to 841 of the family's 1533-position model. The record is from RNAcentral. Lineage: Bacteria; Bacillati; Bacillota; Clostridia; Peptostreptococcales; Peptostreptococcaceae.